RNAcentral lists this long non-coding RNA (3106 nucleotides) under Eutrema salsugineum. RNAcentral's name for it is "long non-coding RNA (ESAL_LNC001423)". The record is from RNAcentral. Lineage: Eukaryota; Viridiplantae; Streptophyta; Magnoliopsida; Brassicales; Brassicaceae.
UCUUAACGAAUAUUAUCUAGAUUCGUUAUUAGCCCAACAUUAUUUCGUUGUGCUUCAAACCUUUAAAUCAAUAUCAAAUUUGUGUGCAGCUACUCUAAUAAUGUCUUUCCACAGGUUAUAUUCGAGGUCUUAUUCUCUUUGAUCCAUGGCUACUCCACUUCUCAUCUCUCUGCACCUCCUUUCAUCUUGUUUCUUAAACCCAACUCCAAGAUUUUUAUAUUACUCCAAUUUCUCCACAUCAAAACCCGAAUUUAGUAGCCAUCACCACAAAGUAAACAAAUGCUUUUGGACAAGUGUUCACUGCUCGUCUAAUCUCAUCAUCAACCCUCCCGUUCUCUUCCUAAGUAACGGCUUCGAUGGUGGUGGAUUCGUCGAUACAUAAACAUUCAUUGUUACUAUCAGUUUCAUCGUUGCCAUUGCCCUGUCUCUCUUCUUCGACUUCAAGGUGAAAUCAGAAGCAAAACCCAUAUCAUAGUUUCUCACUAAAUCAUUCUCUUUGUGAAAAUUUUGGUUUUUUUUUAUUCUUGCAGGAAGCCCAGUCCUUGUGAAAGAUAUGGUGAAAAUUGUGAAUCUCUAUCUCUUUAUAUUCUUCAGGAAAUUGCAGUUUUCUUGCAAUUUAAUUUGUAGAUGAUUGGACUUUAGUCACUUAAGAUGAUAAUAAUCAUAAUUUAUGAAGUCUUGGUUUAGUUACCAACUGAUGAUUCUUUAUUUCCUUGGAUUAGAAACAACUAGUAGAUGACACCUGAUAACACCGUAUUUUGACCACUUUUAUGGAUCAUAAUUAUGUCUUAUGCAGGUGUUUUAAUUCUGUUUUCAAUGGUUUUUAAAGUGUUUUCAAUGUUUUAGAGUUUCAAAAGACUUUACAGGAAACUUGGACAAAAGAUAUGCAAUUUAGAACAAAUACGCAAUUUUGGAUAAAUGCAGACCGUCAGAAGUAUGACAAGCGAUGAAGACUUUCUCACCAUCUGAUCACCCCCAAAAAUUUGAGACAACAUAGAGGAUCCAACCAGCUUUCUAAUGCAUUUGGUUUGGAGACAAUCCAACGGUUAGAUCUUCAGAUACUCCCGAUGCAAGAAUGACAGAAAAUGUAGUUCCAGAAGAGAGCCAUGUGCCGAGACCGCGGCCAACACCUGUUUUCCCGCGGGUAGAGCCACCGCGACCGCGGAUAUUGGUCGUUCACUUUCCAGACGACUUAAUUAAAGCCCAGAUCAAUUCCUUUCGUUAUUUUUGAAGCCCUAAGUGUCCAGAACCACCCCAGAAGCUAUAAAUACCCCCUUUAGGUCAUUCCUAAAGGUGUGUAGACGACAUAAGAUAGAAAGAGAGAGAGAGUUCGUGUGAGAAGCCCUAGGAGCCGCCGCCUUUGAAGGAGGAGCCGUCGAGGAGAGAGCAUCAUCGCGCCUCCAUCUGCGACUCUGUUCUUCGUUUUUCUUCCCUCUUUUCUUUAAUUUUCUACAACUUUCAAUACUCUGUGAUGAUUGUUUACAAUAUGUUUGAGUAGUUACCCAGUUGAGUUUAAAGGGAUUGUUCAAAGGGAAUUUCAUGUGUCUUUGCUUAUGAAUCGAUAGAUUUAGGAUUUAUAAUCUUCUAGAUAUUCUUCGUUUGCCUUUCAUUUUACUGCGUGAUUCUUUGCUGGCCACUUAGAAACCGAUCUGAUAUGAUAUGUUGCGAAAGUUUUCAUUGAUUGUCUGAACUAGGGUGAAACGAGCAAUUCUUCUAUAGGAGUGGAAACCUACCUGUAGUUGAGUUGUGAAUGUUGAUGAGUCGCUAUUGCAUCUACUCCCUUCCAGGAUCAGAGUGGAAACCUACUGAUCAGGGUUGCGAGAGAUAGUUGUUUAGUGCUGCGAAAGUAGGCUAUUCAUACUUUCGUGCCUCGAGUUCUAGAACAUACGUAGUUGAUUACCUUUAUCAUAUGUUUAAAAUCGACAUAGCUUAGUCCAUGAAUCCCUGCGAAUUCUCCUUGAUGCCCAACGUUUGUCUUUAAUUGCUUACAACCUUCGAUUUAGUUUGCUUUUCAUUCGCUUUUACUUGCUUCAAUUCGCCUUUGAUCUAUUGGAUUUUUACUUGCUUUUAUUUGCUUUUGUUUUCAAUUUCUUUUGUUUGCUUUGCUUUCUAGUUUAGAUUUAGAGACAACCAAAACUCAAAACCAAAACCCAAAUUGUUUAGUUCUAAUAUGAUUUAAGCGUUGCCGUGAAUUCUACUGAAACAACUAAGUCUAUGUGGAUCGAUACCCUAAGUACUACAGCGCACAUCUGUGCACUUGCAGACAUUUAGGGGUUAUAAAUGUAAAACCUGAAGCUUAGUAAAAACGAAAACAACAACCCCGCUUUUGCUCGCAAUCAACACGAAGAAAAAAAAUAAAUUUAAGUUUACUUUUAUGCAUCUGUUCUAUUGGAAAUAAGUAAUGUUUACUUAAUUUUAAGACAGUUUUUAAAGAGAAUAUUAUCAAAAAGACAUUUUUUCUAUGUUUUAUAUCCAAAAAGACAUUUUUUACUUUUUGGGCACUUAUCUUACUUUGCUCUCAUUUUUUUGACUUUUUUGCCCUUCAUUUCCUUUUACCUUCUAUUUACCUUAUUUCCUUUUAGCCUUUUUUCACCGCCCUUCAUUUCAAUUAAUCUCCUCCAUUCCGGCUUUUUUUGGGAGACACAUCAUUACAACCCUUCUGACUCAUAUAGACCUUCCCGACUUUCCGACUUAUCUCUCUCGGCUUGUAUAGACUUAUCCCGACUUAUUACUCUCUCUAUGCAACCCUCGUUCUCCUUCCGUUGGUACCUCCGUUUAAAACUGGUCGACUUCUGUAUCUUGUUACUAAACCAGGCAUUCAUCUUGUUAUUUUGUAAAGGUUUCAGUUCAGAUUUGUUAUCAUAUCACACUCAUUCUUGUUUUGUUCGAUCAAUAUAACAUUUAUACCGGUCCAUUCAAUCAUAUAUGUUCCGAUCUAAAUACUGAUUGGGAGAAUUCCCACCAAUUUUUCUUAUUUGGUUAAAAUGUUUCUAAAACAUUGCAUCCAUGUGGAUGCAUUUUUUUCAGUGAGAUAUACAGUACUUAUUGUCAUAUUUUGUUUGCUUAUAGACAAUGCCGAGUUGGUAUAUUGACACCUCAUCUGAAG